Molecule: small nuclear RNA, 103 nt
Organism: Phodopus roborovskii (desert hamster)
Lineage: Eukaryota; Metazoa; Chordata; Mammalia; Rodentia; Cricetidae
Source: RefSeq, a predicted model, not a curated record
UGGCUUUGACAGCAAAUAUACAAAAGUUGGAAAGAUACAGAGAAGAUUAGCAUGGCCCCUGUGCAAGGAUGACAUGCAAAUUUGUAAAGUAUUCGAUAUUUUU